Molecule: transfer RNA, 88 nt
Filed under: Vagococcus acidifermentans
Lineage: Bacteria; Bacillati; Bacillota; Bacilli; Lactobacillales; Enterococcaceae
Description: Vagococcus sp. AC-1 tRNA
Rfam family: tRNA
About the family: Transfer RNA (tRNA) molecules are approximately 80 nucleotides in length.
Source: Rfam by way of RNAcentral
GGAAGCGUAUCGAAGUGGUCAUAACGAGCCGCACUCGAAAUGCGGUAGUCCUUAAUUGGGCUCGUGGGUUCGAAUCCCACCGCUUCCU